AGGGAAAACCUGAAAAAGAAACUCCAAAAAAGAUAAUAUCUGCUACCGGUGGACUUGAGCUGUUAUAGUUUGUCUGUAAUGUCGUACAUUAACUCUUAUGCUAGUUAGACCUUCUUGUGAUAUCCAUCCAGACACUCACGGUGUUUGCUGUCAACAACAGCUAAUUGAAAACAACAAGAAAUGUGUUCACGGAGUCAAAAUAUAUCUUCAAUUCAAGUAAGAGAAAGAGAAGAAAAACAGAGGUGGGAUAGAGACCUGGCGGUGGUGGUGGUAGUGUCAAUGCCAAUGCAUUGACUGAAAACACAGACGAGAUUGGGUCAAAAUACAGAAUUCCAAAGGCUUUGACCAAUCGUUUUGAUGUUUGGAAAAAGAAAGUCAAUAUGAAUGUCAAAUCCAAGAUUGUUAAACAGGAAUUGAACCGAUCUUGAGAGUUGAAAAUUGGGCUUUUUGAAUCAGCGCCCGCGUAGGAGAAGCUCAAACCCAUCACAGGACGAGAGAAAAAUCAAGAUAUUCGGUGGCUGUCGGUCGAAUUAGAUAGCUUUCGAGAGCUGUACAGUCUCAAAAGGGGUCGUCUCAGGGCAUUAGCCCAUCGGUAAAUUUUGAGGUUUUUUUUUUGAAUUUUGUAUCCCGAACACUUUUCCCACUUGAACG
Molecule: non-coding RNA, 651 nt
Organism: Cucurbita pepo subsp. pepo (vegetable marrow)
Lineage: Eukaryota; Viridiplantae; Streptophyta; Magnoliopsida; Cucurbitales; Cucurbitaceae
Source: RefSeq, a predicted model, not a curated record